This 405-nucleotide ribosomal RNA is filed under the name uncultured Acetomicrobium sp. RNAcentral describes it as "bacterial SSU rRNA". It matches the Rfam family "Bacterial small subunit ribosomal RNA", at positions 355 to 774 of the family's 1533-position model. The record is from RNAcentral. Lineage: Bacteria; Thermotogati; Synergistota; Synergistia; Synergistales; Acetomicrobiaceae.
UGGGGAAUCUUGGGCAAUGGGCGAAAGCCUGACCCAGCGACGCCGCGUUGGGGAUGAAGCCCUUCGGGGUGUAAACCCAUGUUGUAGGGGACGAAGAAAGUGACGGUACCCUACGAGGAAGCCCCGGCUAACUACGUGCCAGCAGCCGCGGUAAGACGUAGGGGGCAAGCGUUGUCCGGAAUUACUGGGCGUAAAGGGCACGCAGGCGGUGCGCCAAGUCGAGGGUGUAAAGUUACGGCUCAACCGUGACAUUGCAAUCGAUACUGGCGCGCUGGAGUGCGGGAGAGGGAGGUGGAAUUCCCGGUGUAGCGGUGAAAUGCGCAGAUAUCGGGAGGAACACCGGUGGCGAAGGCGGCCUCCUGGGCCACGACUGACGCUGAGGAGCGAAAGCUGGGGGAGCGAACA